GACGAACGCUGGCGGCGUGCUUAAAACAUGCAAGUCGAGCGGAGAGGCGAACGGGUGAGUAACGCGUGAGUAACUGCCCCCCCCUCUGGGAUAACAGUUGGAAACGGCUGCUAAUACCGGAUAGUGGGGGAUGACUCGCGUCCUAUUCGCUUGUUGGUGGGGUAGGGGCAGACCACGGGGACGACGGGUGGCCGGCCUGAGAGCGCGACCGGCCACAUUGGGCUGAGAUACGGCCCAAACUGCUACGGGAAGCAGCAGUAGGGAAUAUUGCGCAAUGGGGGAAACCCUGAUGCAGCAACGCACGAGCGGGAUGACGGCCUUCGGGUUGAAAACCGCUUUCAGCCAUGACGCGGUAGUGGCAGAGGAAGCACCGGCUAACUACGUGCCAGCAGCCGCGGUAAUUC
This 404-nucleotide ribosomal RNA is filed under the name uncultured bacterium. Its description in RNAcentral is "partial 16S ribosomal RNA". It matches the Rfam family "Bacterial small subunit ribosomal RNA", at positions 28 to 526 of the family's 1533-position model. The record is from RNAcentral.